RNAcentral lists this ribosomal RNA (468 nucleotides) under uncultured bacterium. Its description in RNAcentral is "partial 16S ribosomal RNA". It matches the Rfam family "Bacterial small subunit ribosomal RNA", at positions 28 to 507 of the family's 1533-position model. The record is from RNAcentral.
GACGAACGCUGGCGGUGUGCUUAACACAUGCAAGUCGAACGGUAAGGCCCUUUCGGGGGUACACGAGUGGCGAACGGGUGCGUAACACGUGAGUAACCUGCCCUCAUCUCUGGGAUAACAGUCGGAAACGGUUGCUAAUACUGGAUAUGAGCUUGCAAGGCAUCUUGUGGGUUGGAAAGAUUUUUUUUGGUUGGGGAUGGACUCGCGGCCUAUCAGCUUGUUGGUGAGGUAGUGGCUCACCAAGGCUUCGACGGGUAGCCGGCCUGAGAGGGCGACCGGCCACAUUGGGACUGAGAUACGGCCCAAACUCCGACGGGAGGCAGCAGUGGGGAAUAUUGCACAAUGGACGGAAGUCUGAUGCAGCAACGCCGCGUGCGGGAUGACGGCCUUCGGGUUGUAAACCGCUGUCAAUUGUGACGAAGCUUUUUUGUGACGGUAGCAGUAGAAGAAGCACCGGCUAACUACGUG